Molecule: ribosomal RNA, 513 nt
Filed under: uncultured bacterium
Lineage: Bacteria
Description: bacterial SSU rRNA
Rfam family: Bacterial small subunit ribosomal RNA
Source: RNAcentral
AGAGUUUGAUCAUGGCUCAGGACGAACGCUGGCGGCGUGCCUAACACAUGCAAGUCAAAGGAAAGCGGCUUCGGCCGGGAGUACUUGGCGCAAGGGUGAGUAAGGUAUAGGUAAUCUGCCCUUUGGACUGGGAUAACUCCGAGAAAUCGGUGACAAUACCAGAUGAUGCAGCGGAACCGCAUGGUUAUGUUGUUAAAGAUUUAUCGCCAAAGGAUGAGCCUAUAUUCCAUCAGGUAGUUGGCAGGGUAACGGCCUACCAAGCCUACGACGGAUAGCUGGUCUGAGAGGAUGAUCAGCCACAUUGGAACUGAGACACGGUCCAGACUCCUACGGGAGGCAGCAGUGAGGAAUAUUGCGCAAUGGGCGAAAGCCUGACGCAGCAACGCCGCGUGGAUGAAGAAGUUCUUCGGAAUGUAAAAUCCUUUUGCAGAGGAAGAAACUGCCGGUUUACCGGCACUGACGGUACUCUGCGAAUAAGCCACGGCUAACUCUGUGCCAGCAGCCGCGGUAAUA